UACGGAGGGUGCGAGCGUUAAUCGGAAUUACUGGGCGUAAAGAGUGCGUAGGUGGUUAAUUAAGUUAUCUGUGAAAUUCCUGGGCUUAACCUGGGCAGGUCAGAUAAUACUGAUUGACUCGAGUAUGGGAGAGGGUAGUGGAAUUUCCGGUGUAGCGGUGAAAUGCGUAGAGAUCGGAAGGAACACCAGUGGCGAAGGCGGCUACCUGGCCUGAUACUGACACUGAGGCACGAAAGCGUGGGGAGCAAACAGG
Molecule: ribosomal RNA, 253 nt
Filed under: uncultured bacterium
Lineage: Bacteria
Description: partial 16S ribosomal RNA
Rfam family: Bacterial small subunit ribosomal RNA
Source: RNAcentral